GCUGGGUAUGGUGAUGCAUGCCUUUAAUCCCAGCUACCUGGGAGGCUGAGACAGGAGGAUCACAAGUCCAAGGCCAGCCUUAGCCACUUAGUAAGACCCUGCCUGGG
Molecule: small RNA, 107 nt
Filed under: Marmota monax (woodchuck)
Lineage: Eukaryota; Metazoa; Chordata; Mammalia; Rodentia; Sciuridae
Source: RNAcentral